AGAGUUUGAUCAUGGCUCAGGACGAACGCUGACGGUGUGCUUUAGGCAUGCAAGUCGAACGAGAAAGCCCUUCGGGGUGAGUAGAGUGGCGAACGGGUGAGUAACACGUGGGCAACCUGCCCCUCGCAGGGGGAUAACCGGAGGAAACUCCGGCUAAUACCCCGUAAGCUUUCAGGGUCGCAUGGCCCUGCAAGGAAAGGUAGCUUCGGCCAUCCGGCGAGGGAUGGGCCCGCGGUGCCUUAGCUAGUUGGUGGGAUAACGGCCCACCAAGGCGACGAUGCGUAGCUGGUCUGAGAGGAUGAUCAGCCACACUGGGACUGAGACACGGCCCAGACUCCUACGGGAGGCAGCAGUCGGGAAUUUUGCUCAAUGGGGGAAACCCUGAAGCAGCAACGCCGCGUGAGGGAUGAAGGCCUUCGGGUCGUAAACCUCUUUUGCCGAGGACGAUGAUGACGGUACUCGGUGAAUAAGCCACGGCUAACUACGUGCCAGCAGCGGCGGUAAUUC
RNAcentral lists this ribosomal RNA (507 nucleotides) under uncultured bacterium. Its description in RNAcentral is "bacterial SSU rRNA". It matches the Rfam family "Bacterial small subunit ribosomal RNA", at positions 8 to 526 of the family's 1533-position model. The record is from RNAcentral.